This is a non-coding RNA of Xylariaceae sp. AK1471, 85 nucleotides long. Lineage: Eukaryota; Fungi; Ascomycota; Sordariomycetes; Xylariales; Xylariaceae. The record is from the annotation of a GenBank genome assembly.
GCUUUUGUGGGGUAGUGGUAACCCAUGUGGAUUCCCUUUCGGAGGGCCCAUGCGCAAGACGUCGGUUCGAUUCCGACCAGGAGUA